UGGACAGGCCCAGUGAGCCUCCGGCUGCCCUCCUCUUGGACUGAGUUCUUCCACUCAAACACUGCCGUCCUGUGUCAAGACAAACCUGUGUGGACACUCAGAGGACCCUGGGAGGGGCAGUCUUCCUGCUCUUCCUCAAAAGGAGCAAAACAGAACCUUCGGAGAUCACCUUUUAACUGCCACCUGAAUGUUGCCUCCUUCUCACCAAGAUCCAUCUCAAAGCCUGCUUCCUGGGGAACCGAACGUGCAGAAGGAAAACAGGGGAACAUCCAGCUGCGGCACAACUCAUGCCGAUCAGAAGUCAAUCUAGGGCCCAUGGAGGGUCAGGGAUCCUGACGGUCUUCAUGGCAAUGCCAGGAAAAGCCUGAAGCCAGGCCCACAAGGAUCAGCGCACAGAUGGAGGGCUUUCCACAUUUCCAAGCUUCUUCCAGUUAAUAGCUGGGGGACUGCAGACUCAAACCUCAAGCCAGCUUGCCCCCGGAGCCUCUCCCUUGUCAGAUUUCUUUUCAAAUGUCUCUCAAGAAACUAGUGCACAGGAACAAAUGAAUGGGACUUAAUUGUCAAUGGAUUCUUGAUGCUAGGAGGAAAGGAGGGUACUGUAGAGCCUUGCAGACCACUGGUUCCAGCCUGUGACUGUCAGAUGAGGAAACCAAGGCCUCGAAAGGGGUGGAGGCAAGUCCAAGGUCUAAAUGGUGGUGGAGUUGGGACAGAACUCCAGAUCUCCGAGCUCCAUCCUGAAUUUCUAAUUUACCCAAUUCCACUGUGAGGGAGGCAGACAGAGGAGAGUGGAGAAAAGGGAGAGGGGUAGAGCCGAGACUUUCACUCCAAAUCCCAGUGGCCUGGGCCAAAGGCCUCCUCAAUACUAAUAACAAUGGCAACUUUUACUGAGCACCCACUAAGUGGCAGGAGUCCUAUUAAGCACUGUGGCUCAUUUAAGCCAUUAUCUCAUUGAAGUCUCACAACAACCCAAUAAAGGUGGGUAUUAUUAUUAUUAUACCUACCUUAUAGGACAGGAAUCAGACUCAGAGAGGUGAAGUCAUUUUCUCAGAGAUAUCUGGCUUAAGGGCGGCUGAGUCUGGCCUGAACACCAGCUCAAUUUCACUUUAGCGUUCCCUCUCUUCCUUGGUGUAAUUUAUAGUCCCCUGGUCUCUUCCCAGAUCCUUGGAGACUUUAGUUUCUUUCCUUGGUUUUUUACUCCUCCUCUCCCUUUCAAACUACAAGAGGGAAGUUAUCCAUCCUGUAAGUGCAUGCUUAGGACCACGGCAGCCUGGAAGUAUGGGAAGCAUUCGAGAUCGGAGGUUCCUGAGUUCAAACCCUAACUCUGUCACUCGCUAGCUCUGUCCCCCGUCGGAGCCUCUAGCUCCACGUUGGUGAAAUGAUAAAUAGAAAACCCAUGAUUAUAAACCCUUCUAUCUUGCCAGAGCAAAACGCUUGGCCCUUUAUUAGAGGUCCUGUAGGUCCUUCUGUUCCAAUAAGUCCUCACCCAUGGAGUUAGGAGCAAGGACGAUCUCAGGGCAAAUAAUGACUGGAACAGGAGGCACAGUGAAGAAGGAGGCAAACAGCUGAUAUUCAACAUAUUCAACCUACCAGUGGCCAGUGGCCUUGGUACUCAGUCUCUCUCUCUGCGCAAUGGGAAUGAAGGCAGCAGAAUACUUCUCCUAGGGCUGUUGUGAGCCUUGAAUGAAAAUAACGCCUGCGACGUGCCGAGCCCAGUGCCUCGUACGUCACAAAUGAUCAACAAAUGGUACUAUUAUUAUUGUCAUCUCGGGGCCAGUGGCUUACAAGUCCUGAGAGUCACUCUUGGACCAUGCCAAGAAGCAAAAACACCAGCUAUAAGCCAGACUAGUGGUUCUCAAACAUCAGUGGGCACAAGAGUCACUUGCAGGCAGAGCCAGGUUCAUGGGUGCACGUCCUGUGCAGUCACACAGGACCCCAUGCUUAGAAGACUCUAGGUGUGGUUCAAUGCUGCGCUGUCACCGUCUCGAAAUUCUAGAUAAUUUCUGAAGAAGGGCCCUGUGUUUUCAUUUGGCACUGGGCCCCAUGAAUUUCACAGGCCAGCCUUGUCUGGAAAACUUAUUAAAACACAGAUAACUGGGGCCACCUCAA
Long non-coding RNA from Lagenorhynchus albirostris (white-beaked dolphin), 2106 nucleotides. RefSeq lists it as uncharacterized. NCBI's taxonomy places the organism in Eukaryota, Metazoa, Chordata, Mammalia, Artiodactyla, Delphinidae. The record is from RefSeq and is a predicted model, not a curated record. The transcript is spliced from 2 exons.